RNAcentral lists this ribosomal RNA (188 nucleotides) under uncultured bacterium. RNAcentral describes it as "partial 16S ribosomal RNA". It matches the Rfam family "Bacterial small subunit ribosomal RNA", at positions 1314 to 1500 of the family's 1533-position model. The record is from RNAcentral.
CCUCGCAUGAAGUCGGAAUUGCUAGUAAUCGCAGAUCAGCAUGCUGCGGUGAAUACGUUCCCCGGGCCUUGUACACACCGCCCGUCACACCAUGGGAGUCGGUAACACCCGAAGUCGGUAGCCUAACCGUAAGGAGGGCGCCGCCGAAGGUGGGAUUGAUGACUGGGGUGAAGUCGUAACAAGGUAGC